UGCCACAGAAGUCCCAGGA
RNAcentral lists this unclassified non-coding RNA (19 nucleotides) under Mus musculus (house mouse). RNAcentral describes it as "oocyte_clustered_small_RNA8968". The record is from RNAcentral. Lineage: Eukaryota; Metazoa; Chordata; Mammalia; Rodentia; Muridae.